AUUGAACGCUGGCGGCAGGCCUAACACAUGCAAGUCGAACGAGUGGCGGACGGGUGAGUAAUGUCUGGGAAACUGCCUGAUGGAGGGGGAUAACUACUGGAAACGGUAGCUAAUACCGCAUACCAUCGGAUGUGCCCAAAUGGGAUUAGCUAGUCGGUGGGGUAACGGCUCACCUAGGCGACGAUCCCUAGCUGGUCUGAGAGGAUGACCAGCCGCACUGGAGUUGAGGCACGGCACAGAGUCCUCCGGGAGGCAGCAGUGGGGAAUAUUGCGCAAUGGGCGCAAGUCUGAUGCCGCCAUGCCUCGUGUAUGAAGGAGGCCUUGGGGUUGUAAAGUACUUUCAGCGAGGAGGCGUUACCCGCAGAAGAAGCCCCGGCUAACUCCGUGCCAGCAGCCGCGGUAAUUC
RNAcentral lists this ribosomal RNA (406 nucleotides) under uncultured bacterium. RNAcentral's name for it is "partial 16S ribosomal RNA". It matches the Rfam family "Bacterial small subunit ribosomal RNA", at positions 30 to 526 of the family's 1533-position model. The record is from RNAcentral.